GUUCCUACCGGCAAAGGUAGCGUAUCACUUGUUUUUAAAUAAAGACCAGUAUGAAAGGCAUCACGAGGACAAAACUGUCUCCUUUUUCCAAUCAGUGAACCUAAUCUCCCCGUGAAGAAGCGGGGAUUUUUCUAUAAGACGAGAAGACCCUAUGGAGCUUAAAACAUCAUAACAUUUGCCACCCACUUCCAAUUACCCCGGUAUUUUCCCCAAAAUAGCAUUUUGAUUUUAUGUUUUCGGUUGGGGUGACCGCGGAGAAAAAUUUAUCCUCCACGAUGAAAGGGAGCCUCCCCUAAACAAUAAGCCACAUCUUUAUGUAUCAACAAAUUGACAUCCAUUGACCCAAUAAACUGAUUAACGAACCAAGUUACCCUAGGGAUAACAGCGCAAUCCACUUUGAGAGCCCCUAUCGACAAGUGGGCUUACGACCUCGAUGUUGGAUCGGGAUAUCCUAGUGGUGCAGCCGCUACUAAAGGUUCGUUUGUUCAACGAUUAAAACCCCACGUGAUCUGAGUUCAGACCGGAGUAAUCCAGGUCAGUUUCUAUCUAUAAUAGAGCUUUUUUCAGUACGAAAGGACCAAAAUAGCAUGGCCUAUGUCACCCACAAGCCAUAGCUAACUAUUUUAGAUACUCACUCAAAAAAUAAUUAGCCUUCCCCCCCCGUCUCAAGAAAAGAGCAGUUAAUGUAGCAAACCCAGG
This 699-nucleotide ribosomal RNA is filed under the name Pristimantis sp. n. MN-2019. Its description in RNAcentral is "partial large subunit ribosomal RNA". It matches the Rfam family "Bacterial large subunit ribosomal RNA", at positions 1936 to 2925 of the family's 2925-position model. Lineage: Eukaryota; Metazoa; Chordata; Amphibia; Anura; Strabomantidae. The record is from RNAcentral.